GUGAGGGUGUAGACACAAGGGUGUAGACAUGAGGGUGUAGAUGUGAGGGUAUAGAUGUGAAGGUGUAGACGUGAGGGUGUAGACGCGAGGGUGUAGACGCGAAGGUGUAGACGCGAGGGUGUAGAUGCGAGGGUGUAGAUGUGAGGGUGUAAACGCGAGGGUGUAGAUGCGAGGGUGUAGAUGUGAAGGUGUAAACGUGAGGGUGUAGAUGCGAGGGUGUAGAUGCGAGGGUGUAGAUGCGAGGGUGUAGAUGCGAGGGUGUAGACGUGAAGGUGUAGACGUGAAGGUGUAGGUGGCUGUUACCUGGAAGCUGCUCCGACUCCAUCAGCUCUCUCGGCUCUCUCCUUCUCCCUUCUCCCGGAUCCAAAGUGUC
This is a long non-coding RNA of Ictalurus punctatus (channel catfish), 373 nucleotides long. NCBI's taxonomy places the organism in Eukaryota, Metazoa, Chordata, Actinopteri, Siluriformes, Ictaluridae. The record is from Ensembl.